GCAUACAAACAGUGGGAGCGCCCUAGUGGUGUGACUGCGUACCUUUUGUAUAAUGGGUCAACGACUUACAUUCAGUAGCGAGCUUAACCGGAUAGGGGAGGCGUAGGGAAACCGAGUCUUAAUAGGGCGAUGAGUUGCUGGGUGUAGACCCGAAACCGAGUGAUCUAUCCAUGGUCAGGUUGAAGGUGCCGUAACAGGUACUGGAGGACCGAACCCACGCAUGUUGCAAAAUGCGGGGAUGAGCUGUGGGUAGGGGUGAAAGGCUAAACAAACUCGGAGAUAGCUGGUUCUCCCCGAAAACUAUUUAGGUAGUGCCUCGAGCAAGACACUGAUGGGGGUAAAGCACUGUUAUGGCUAGGGGGUUAUUGCAACUUACCAACCCAUGG
This 386-nucleotide ribosomal RNA is filed under the name Salmonella enterica subsp. enterica serovar Bareilly. Its description in RNAcentral is "partial 23S ribosomal RNA". It matches the Rfam family "Bacterial large subunit ribosomal RNA", at positions 562 to 949 of the family's 2925-position model. The record is from RNAcentral. Lineage: Bacteria; Pseudomonadati; Pseudomonadota; Gammaproteobacteria; Enterobacterales; Enterobacteriaceae.